This 450-nucleotide ribosomal RNA is filed under the name Bacillus licheniformis. Its description in RNAcentral is "bacterial SSU rRNA". It matches the Rfam family "Bacterial small subunit ribosomal RNA", at positions 81 to 515 of the family's 1533-position model. Lineage: Bacteria; Bacillati; Bacillota; Bacilli; Caryophanales; Bacillaceae. The record is from RNAcentral.
UGCUCCUUAGGUCAGCGGCGGACGGGUGAGUAACACGUGGGUAACCUGCCUGUAAGACUGGGAUAACUCCGGGAAACCGGGGCUAAUACCGGAUGCUUGAUUGAACCGCAUGGUUCAAUCAUAAAAGGUGGCUUUUAGCUACCACUUACAGAUGGACCCGCGGCGCAUUAGCUAGUUGGUGAGGUAACGGCUCACCAAGGCGACGAUGCGUAGCCGACCUGAGAGGGUGAUCGGCCACACUGGGACUGAGACACGGCCCAGACUCCUACGGGAGGCAGCAGUAGGGAAUCUUCCGCAAUGGACGAAAGUCUGACGGAGCAACGCCGCGUGAGUGAUGAAGGUUUUCGGAUCGUAAAACUCUGUUGUUAGGGAAGAACAAGUACCGUUCGAAUAGGGCGGUACCUUGACGGUACCUAACCAGAAAGCCACGGCUAACUACGUGCCAGCAGC